RNAcentral lists this long non-coding RNA (137 nucleotides) under Cyanistes caeruleus (blue tit). Its description in RNAcentral is "lncRNA (ENSCCEG00000003086.1)". The record is from RNAcentral. Lineage: Eukaryota; Metazoa; Chordata; Aves; Passeriformes; Paridae.
CUUUGCAGCACGCUUCACUCACAGUGUGCACAGUGAUCUGAUCUCAGCUUGUUUGCUCUGAAGAUAAUCUUCUCCUGCAGGAGUGACAGCUGGAGAGACCCACUGAGAAGUGAACAAGGAAGAUGGAGGAGCACUGA